AGUCUGUGAUGAUACCAAUGAAAGCUUGUUUCUCUAAACAUUCGCAGUGGCUGCCUAAGAGCAUGUUAAUGCUGCUUUUUCCUUCCUUGGAUGUAUGAGACU
Molecule: small nucleolar RNA, 102 nt
Filed under: Phaseolus vulgaris (common bean)
Lineage: Eukaryota; Viridiplantae; Streptophyta; Magnoliopsida; Fabales; Fabaceae
Description: snoRNA SNORD14
Rfam family: Small nucleolar RNA SNORD14
About the family: U14 small nucleolar RNA (U14 snoRNA) is required for early cleavages of eukaryotic precursor rRNAs.
Source: Rfam by way of RNAcentral